This 40-nucleotide non-coding RNA is filed under the name Trypanosoma brucei brucei. The record is from RNAcentral. Lineage: Eukaryota; Euglenozoa; Kinetoplastea; Trypanosomatida; Trypanosomatidae.
AAACUGAAGGGGAGGUAGUUCCCCGAAACUCGAUAUAGAG